CACAGUUGUUCACGAUGACGAUUGUUUUCGUCACUUACGAAGGCACUCGCAAUUUUGUCCAAACACCGCAACUUUUUCGCAAAUUUGACCAAUCAUCGUAGUUUUACCGUGAAAU
Alosa sapidissima (American shad) is the source of this 115-nucleotide long non-coding RNA. RefSeq lists it as uncharacterized. The record is from RefSeq and is a predicted model, not a curated record. Lineage: Eukaryota; Metazoa; Chordata; Actinopteri; Clupeiformes; Clupeidae. The transcript is spliced from 3 exons.